AUUAAAACUGUCAGUUCCUAAUGGUAAAAAAUUAAAAGGGAUUUCGAAUUUAUAGUUUACACUACAGAUUAUCGAUUAUAAUGUGAACAUUGUAUAUGAUCUGUGUUUACACUCUAUAGUUCUUACGACGAUUGCGUCAAUACCUACGUUUUGUAUUUUACCUAAGUACCACUUUAUGAAUGUUAUGGACUACAGUUGUCUUCAAAUGUAUUAUAUGUAUCUGCAACGCAAUUCAUUAGUAUUUAAAAUAAUGAAUAUUCAGUUAUCACAUGAUCGAAAUCUAAACGAAUCGCCUCACUAAUACGAUCUGAUUCAGGACCGCACCGUCCUCGAGUGGCAAAGAAAGGCAUUAGUAAGUUUUUGGAACAACAUGCAACCAUCGAACACUGGCAAGGAAAACUUAUUGCGUGCUGGCAGGACACCUGAGGACAUGCUCUGUAGGAUGGAGGGAGAAACUUCAAAAACUAAACAGAAGUUUUACGAUACUAUAGAAAGAGUUAUACAUCUUCUGGUGCUAAAAUAGAUUCAUCUUUGAAUUUAUAAUACUUUUUUGAAUAGCCAACUUCUGAAGGUAGCUGUGUGUGUGAAAAAAUUUGGAAGCGAUUGCAUUAAUAAAAAAGUUUUGGAAGAUCAUCGACAAACAAAAACAGAGGUUACUGCUUUAGGAAAUCUGAAUUCGUCUUCAAAGCAAUUGCUUAAUAUGAAAGAAAUUCUGAGCAAAUUUUAAUGU
Acyrthosiphon pisum (pea aphid) is the source of this 730-nucleotide long non-coding RNA. RefSeq lists it as uncharacterized. The transcript is spliced from 4 exons. NCBI's taxonomy places the organism in Eukaryota, Metazoa, Arthropoda, Insecta, Hemiptera, Aphididae. The record is from RefSeq and is a predicted model, not a curated record.